This 497-nucleotide ribosomal RNA is filed under the name uncultured bacterium. RNAcentral's name for it is "partial 16S ribosomal RNA". It matches the Rfam family "Bacterial small subunit ribosomal RNA", at positions 28 to 507 of the family's 1533-position model. The record is from RNAcentral.
GAUGAACGCUGGCGGCGUGCCUAAUACAUGCAAGUCGAGCGAACGGACGAGAAGCUUGCUUCUCUGAUGUUAGCGGCGGACGGGUGAGUAACACGUGGAUAACCUACCUAUAAGACUGGGAUAACUUCGUGAAACCGGAGCUAAUACCGGCUAAUAUUUUGAACCGCAUGGUUCAAAAGUUAAAGACGGUCUUGCUGUCACUUAUAGAUGGAUCCGCGCUGCAUUAGCUAGUUGGUAAGGUAACGGCUUACCAAGGCAACGAUGCAUAGCCGACCUGAGAGGGUGAUCGGCCACACUGGAACUGAGACACGGUCCAGACUCCUACGGGAGGCAGCAGUAGGGAAUCUUCCGCAAUGGGCGAAAGCCUGACGGAGCAACGCCGCGUGAGUGAUGAAGGUCUUCGGAUCGUAAAACUCUGUUAUUAGGGAAGAACAUAUGUGUAAGUAACUGUGCACAUCUUGACGGUACCUAAUCAGAAAGCCACGGCUAACUACGUG